CCUUAAAGUUAGUUGCCAUUCUUUGCUGUAGCUCAUUUGUUCUUUUCAAUCCAGAGAAAUAUUAGAACGUUAAAACUUAUCACAUAGGAGGGUUUAAUCAUCCUACCAAAAUUAGACAGCAUGUAGCUCUGAAAGACUGAAUGUCAAAUUGUGUGCUCGUAGCCCUUAAACUACUGAGAAUCUAGGACCCCACUACUACAUUUAAAAUGACUGUUCAUGUUUGUGGAAAACCGUGGACGCUUAGGAACUGGUAAAGCUAGAGGUCUCUUACUCUUUGAUUAAGGGCACCACUUUCAGAUAAAAACAUAGACCUGAAUGGCAUCAUCCAGUAUCCAAGGAAACCAUAUGAUCUUUCCUGCCUGGGUUAUAUCUGCAGAGCAGCCGACACUCAUUCUUAUAAAUGUGUUUAUGUUUGAGAUUGGAUGUAGUGGAGGAUGGAAGGAUAUAAAAUGAGAGAAGGGAACCACUGGAGAUUUUGAGAUGGUCUGUUUAUUGAGAGCAACUUAGAUCCUAAAUUUGUCACCAGCUCUGGAUUUCUCUCCCAAGCCAGGAUUGUGUGAAGUCAUUACAAUUUAAAGCAUACUGUUGGUCGGUCAUUCCCUGGACUCCAACUUCUGUUUCACCCCCAACAUACAGAGUAGAGAAGAAAUGAACUACUAUAUGGAGAUUGCUUUCUCCUACUUAUCAAGACAGAGUGGUGUACAUUCACUUCUUUUGGGGGCAUGUGUUCCAAGAAGAAGCAGAUUUCCAUUACAGACUUGAAACUGAGGUAUGUGAGGAGCACACAGAUAUCGUUCUUUUGAACUUUGAAGGAGAUAAUUUGCUGUUAACAUAAAAAUAAGACUAUUCACAAAUCAUUAGCUCUGAAGAAAAAUGACAUCAACAUUGUGAGGUACUCCGCCUGUUGGACAAAUACAGAAAGAAUCAAUUGUGGCAUACCUCUUGACUAAAGAGCAUCAGUGAAUAACUGCCUGCAGGGCUUGUUAUAUUUCUGAAUUGUAUGUAUGGUUUACAGUUGCGGCCAUGUGGUAAUUGCACCAAGUUGACCAUAUUAAUAGUGAGUUUAUCUACACCAUCUGCUGUUAUAUUGACAUCUACGUUUUUCAAGAUAGCACCCUAUUUUUGUUCUGUUAUUUCUUCUUUUCCUUCUUCGUUUCCAACCAUCCCUACUGAUAUCUGCACCAUUUCAUGUUAUCAAAAAAAGGAGGCUUUCAGUGGAGAAGUGAUGGAUGGCAGGGAUAAGUGACCAAAGAACUCAGUAGAAAAAAGUUGUAAUUCAUGGCCCCAUACAACUGUAAAAAGGUGAGUCUUCAGGUAAGAAAGUAUAUGGAGUAAGCGUGAAAGAGACAGGAGGGUUUAAAAAAUCAAAGGAAAUGGCUGACAGGAUAGAGGAGAAUGAGGACCAUACAUGUGUAGGAUAACGGCAGAACAGUUCAGAGAUUAAGAUGGCAUUAAUGUGAUCAUCAGAAAGAUACUUCAAAGUUUUGGCAACACACUCCAACAGCAGUAACUCCAAGGAGCCUUCUGAAAUCAGGAGCCAACAGGUGAGGUUUCCUUUAACUUUAUUCUUGAAUUGCAGUCAAGAUUAACUUGUAUAAGCCCCAUUUUCUGAUGUUUUAGUUUGUUUCCAAAGCGCUGUUCCUUCCAGUUCAUUUUUUCACUUAUCCUCACAAGGUAGCUGUGAUAGCUUCUGAGCAAAUCUCCUGGCACCCAACUCUUAGCUAAUUCCAUUAGAAAACACUGACUUUGUGUGUGAAAGGUGAAAAAAAUUCUAUUAAAUCGUUGCUAGAUUUUUAGAACUAUAGCUAAAGUUCAGGAAAGGCUUGGGGUUCCAAAGAGUAGAAAGAUAGAGAAAAGAGCAAACGUAUAUAUUCAGUAUAAGCCAACAGAAUUAACCUGGGCAUUAUUUCAGCUUUUGUUCCCUGAAGCCAUGGAUCAAUGGUGCAGAAAUAGACACUCACCUCUGACAAAGAAAAAGCAUGGAUACUGGCAUGGGAGGGCAUGGUUCCUUUUCUUUCAGCCCCAGAUCAAAUUUAAACCUGUGAUUUUGGAGCUUACUCAUCAGAGGAGAAAUAUCAUGAGCUAUUUGCUCUCUCUGCUGUAACACAGCUCUGGCAAGCCUGGAAGUUGUGUUGAGAUCGUCAAAUCUAUAGUCAAGGACCAUCUUUGUGAAUCAUGAAACCAUAUGCCACUGGUUGUCUGAAUUGGAGGAAAAAAAACACCCCAAAACAAAAAAACCCAACUCUACACCAACGAAACUAGUGAUGUGCUUAGACAGUGCCAAGGGCCAUUUGACCAUCUUACACCUUCUCAAUCUAUGCAUUUAAAAAAUUUGUUGCUACUGCCUGAACCAUGUAAAAUACCAGAACUCCUGUAGUGCUAACAAGGAAUAAAGAUCUUGCACCAGA
Long non-coding RNA from Leopardus geoffroyi (Geoffroy's cat), 2408 nucleotides. RefSeq lists it as uncharacterized. The transcript is spliced from 4 exons. The record is from RefSeq and is a predicted model, not a curated record. NCBI's taxonomy places the organism in Eukaryota, Metazoa, Chordata, Mammalia, Carnivora, Felidae.